RNAcentral lists this unclassified non-coding RNA (291 nucleotides) under fungal sp. RNAcentral's name for it is "partial internal transcribed spacer region". The stretch from base 1 to 46 matches the Rfam family "Eukaryotic small subunit ribosomal RNA", at positions 1786 to 1831 of the family's 1831-position model. The record is from RNAcentral. Lineage: Eukaryota; Fungi.
AAGUCGUAACAAGGUAACCGUAGGUGAACCUGCGGUUGGAUCAUUAAAGAAUUUAAAGGUUUUCGAACUUUUAGCUUUAAAAUUGGGUUAGUUCUUCUCAUUUGAAGACUAACUUCAAACCUUGUGUGAAUUGUUAACUGUCUUUGAUGAGAAUGAAUAAAAGGAAAGGUUACUUUUCUUUCAUUAUCGCUCAUCAAAAAUGAUUUUUAAAAACUUUGUUUUAAAUAAAAAGUCUUGAAUUCAAUGAAAUUAAAUUGAAAACAACUUUUGACAACGGAUCUCUUGGCUCUC